GGAAUAUUGGACAAUGGGCGCAAGCCUGAUCCAGCCAUGCCGCGUGCAGGAUGACGGUCCUAUGGAUUGUAAACUGCUUUUAUACGAGAAGAAACACUGCUACGUGUAGCAGCUUGACGGUAUCGUAAGAAUAAGGAUCGGCUAACUCCGUGCCAGCAGCCGCGGUAAUACGGAGGAUCCAAGCGUUAUCCGGAAUCAUUGGGUUUAAAGGGUCCGUAGGCGGUUUAAUAAGUCAGUGGUGAAAGCCCAUCGCUCAACGGUGGAACGGCCAUUGAUACUGUUAGACUUGAAUUAUUAGGAAGUAACUAGAAUAUGUAGUGUAGCGGUGAAAUGCUUAGAGAUUACAUGGAAUACCAAUUGCGAAGGCAGGUUACUACUAAUAUAUUGACGCUGAUGGACGAAAGCGUGGGUAGCGAACAGGAUUAGAUACCCGAG
RNAcentral lists this ribosomal RNA (435 nucleotides) under uncultured Flavobacterium sp. Its description in RNAcentral is "bacterial SSU rRNA". It matches the Rfam family "Bacterial small subunit ribosomal RNA", at positions 358 to 790 of the family's 1533-position model. Lineage: Bacteria; Pseudomonadati; Bacteroidota; Flavobacteriia; Flavobacteriales; Flavobacteriaceae. The record is from RNAcentral.